UCCGUCAUUUUCUUCUUCCCUUUUCUGGUUCACGCUCUUGCGGUCACUGGUCUCAGUCUCUACCUUCAUGGUUUCGGAUCGAAACCCUAAUCGGUGCUGAAACCAUUAGCAAGGAUCGCGAUCGGAACAGGAAGAGAUGUGAUUCUCGGGAACGAACUCCGAGCACUGGCGGAGGCUUUGGCGGCCGCUAAUCGACUCCGUUUUGGAAUCUUUCUAGGGUUUCUGUGUUGCGAAUCGCGCACAUGAAAGAUCCGUUGGAUAGGACGAAGGUCGUGCUCCGGCGCUUGCCGCCGGCGAUCCCUCAGGCGACACUGAUGGAGGAGAUCGACGGCAGGUUCGCUGGCCGGUACAAGUGGUUCUGCUUUCGCCCGGGGAAGAACAACCGAAAGAAUCAGCAUCAUUCUCGAGCCUAUAUCGAUUUCAACAGGUCGGAAGAUGUGGUUGAAUUUGCUGAAUUCUUUGAUGGACACAUAUUUGUCAAUGAAAAGGGUGGUCAGUUUAAAGUUCAUGUUGAAUAUGCACCAUCACAGCAUGUUCCAAAGAGAAGGUCUAAGAAGGAUGUCCGUGAAGGGACUAUAAUCAAGGAUCCUGAAUAUCUGGAGUUCCUUGAGCAUCUUGCAAAGCCUGCUGAGAAUCUUCCUAGUGCUGAAAUUCAGCUGGAGAGGAGAGAGGCACAAAGAGCUGGUGGACAGAAGGAUAUGGUCAUAGUGACACCUCUGAUGGAAUUUGUGCGGCAAAAAAGAGUUGCUAAGAGUGGGUCUCAGAGAUCUGUUAACGGGAAACUUGGUAGAAGAUCUAGAGGAGCUUCUUCUAGUGGCUCUAAUCCUUCUUCCAGACGAAGCUCUGAGAAGCGACGGGUCUCUAAACCAAUGUAUGUUUUAAGGGACAGUAGAAGGAAUAUCAGUGGAAAGGACAAACCAACAUAUAUAUUAGUAUCUAGAAAAGAUGAUCAGCAGCUGCUAGAUAAAUCUAUUGCUGUAGCUUCAGCAAGUUCAAUAGAAGCAUUAGAAGAAGCAAAGGGUGUUGAAACUGGAAAGAAAAGAAUCUUGACUUUGAAAGCAAAAGUGACAGAAGACUAUCAUGUAUCUGAUGGUUCAUCACGGAAUGUGAGUUCGGUGAAAAAAUCCAGUUCAUAUACUUUUAAACAGAAUCAGGGACAUGAGACUAGUGGAAGAAUUGUAAGGAGCAUUCUAUCUAACAAGGAUAGCUGUCAGUCUUAUGUGACUGCAUCCCAGUCAGAGCAGCAGACUCCAACAGGGAACUUGGAUAAAGACAAGCAUCCACCUACUCCUCCCAAUAUGUGCUCAAUGCUGAAGGUUCACAUUGCUAGCAAGCCGCCACUUGCUUCCAUUUAUGAUAGCGAAGGCAAAAAUUCCCUAGAUGAUAAGGUUCCUGGUAAUAAUCUCAAUUGUCUUGUAUCCACUAGUGAAAAACAUAAUGGGUGCACAAGAAACAAAGACAGACCUGAUCGUGUUGUCUGGGCUCCUUUUCGUUGUUCAGAUGGAUUGCAUGCUGAUGAUGAAACCCUUUCUUCCUGUUCUGUACCUGCACAGAGGUCCUCAUGUUCAUCGGAAAGCAUCUCUCUUUCUCAACAGGCGACUGGAAUAAAAGCUGGAGAUGAUGAUGUGGCCUGUAUGGGACGUCUCAAUAAUCCAUCUGCUGGCUAUGACAUACCAACAAGUCUUGGAGAAAUCAAAGCGCACAUGUCUAAUGCAAACCGAACUGCAGAAGUUAAAACUUUUGGAGGUGGACGUGUCAGUCCUUUUUCUGCAAAGAAUGGUUCCCAUAGAUAUAUUGGGCACCGUGGACCUGUGCAUGGUAUGAAGGAAGUUGAUGCUUCUCUGAAUUAUCGUGAGGGAAAGCCUUCUAAAAGAGGAGGUCCUGCUGGGUAUGGUUCCCAUGAGAGACAAGUGUGGGUGCAGAAGUCAGGUUCUGGUACAUAAUUUUUUGAAUGGUAAGCUCUAUUUCAUUUUGAUCCAUCUUUUUCUCUAUUCAACCACCCCCACCUUCAAAAUACAUACUGAUCGGUCUUCAUUUGGAGCUCAUAAUAACAUUAACUAGUUAUGGGGCUAGAUACAGAGAACUCUUAAAGUUCAGUCAAACCGUCGUCAGAAAGAAGGGCAGGAAACUGCAUGGUCCUUUUUUUCAGGAAGUUGAAACACAUAUCUUCUGCUUGUGCUGUGCCUGAAACUGUUAUCUUCCUGAAAGUUAGUUCCAGAUAUCCCAUUUGCCACUGUCAUCUUCUUAGUUGAUUCAACUACUUAGCAUGUUUCUCCAACAUUUUCUUCUUACACCAUGAAUUUAGAAAAUACUUCACAGCCUUUGGCCUUAUGUAUGCAUUUCAAGCUGUGGUUUCUGAUAUUUUUAUCUAUUUGACAAUAUAUUUAACCUCUUCUAACACCAAGCUCAUAAAGAGUAGGCAUAAUGAAAGUGUUGGUGGUUGCUACCCAUCUAAGCUUCACAAACACCAUCAGAAUAUGUACGCUGUGAUCUGCUUUUUGGGUUUUAAAGGCAUAAUAUACUGAAUUGAUUCAGCAUUCUGAUACUUGUGUUUUGAUUAAUACACUAUUACACAUUCUGUUUGAUUGAUCUUUGAUAUUGCUAUCUCCGUUUACAUAGAAUGCAUGAAAUAGGUGUUUUGAACUGUUAAAUACCUGUCUCGUUUUUACGAAUUUAUUAUUGCACUAAACUUGAUGCUUCGUGACUUUGUUUAAUUGUUACCUAUUUAAAACAAGGCACUAGAAUAACUGAGAUCAUCACGUGAUAGACAAAAAUAGACAUUGUAGUUUUUCCAACAUAUUCUUCAUCCAGCUUGUGGAACGUUGCUUUAACUUUUCUACUAAAGAUUCUGGUCCUGUCCCCACUGUUAAUCAAUAUGUUAGAUACUAUUCAAUGGGUAACAUACCAUCUUGCACAAAGCUGCACCUGCAAUAUCCUAAGUUAUCACUUGCUCUGUAUAAAACUAGAGGUUUUUUUAAACACAAUUUUGGAGCAAUUUCAAUUCCAAUCUCAGAUUUAUCAACUGACUGAGAAUGGAUUUAUUAGGAAAAGAUAUUUUGUGUAAUGGCUCAUCAUCACAUCUUUCAACACUUACCUUCAUCACCUUCACAUUCACUGCACAUCCAAGGUCCUUUGAGAAUAAUUUAUGGCCUUAUCCCUGAAACUCUUAGGAUUGUUAUCCUUUUGUUCUAUUAAAGGGGGUAAGGGCUAUAGUUUUACUUUUAUGAACCUAUUUCACCUACUUCCAUUAGGAACUUCAUUUAAGGUUCUCUAAGGGAACUGUUUAUAUUACACAAACAUGAUCUGUUUGUAGGUCAUCCUCGUACAUAACUCCUGCCUUCUGUAUGUCUACCUAUGGGCCUUGAUUAUCCAAAAAAUAUUUUGAUUCUCUUGAGGUUGGUUGAUUUGUGUAUUGAGGCUUGUUUGAAAUAUCAAAGUAAUUGUCUGUUGAUGGGUCUGAAAUCCAACCCGCAGUUCCUUCAAAUUGAAGAAUGAGCACCACAAAAAACCUGAAUCCGUUAUUAUCAAAUUCUCUUCAACUUCUAUGUUUUCUGACAAAUACAUGGAACAAUAAGGUAUGGCUUCCACUUCUUCUAAUUUAUUGACAAUUUAGAUAGACAUUUCUAACAUUAUUAUAUUAUAUUAGAUGUUGUUAGCUCCAUACGGAGUUUUAAAAAACUUGACAUCACAUAUGUAGACAGGUACCUAGUCGCACUUGCCCUUGCCCAUUGCUUUGACUCUUAGAAUAUUGUUCUGUGCCAAUCUAUCAACUUAAGUUCAUUCAUAAGCAUGGUGAAGCCCCUAUUUCCUUGAAUAUAUUGACUUGUGUGUACAUGAUAGCUUGGUGAUUUUCAUAAUGCAUUGCUAUAUUUCUUUCUAUGCAAAUCCAUCAUCUUUAAGUUGAUUGUAAGCAUGGUGAGACAAUUUUUUUGACUUGUGUAAUGUACAUGAUUGCUUAGCGAUUUUUAUAAUGUAUUUGCUAUGUUUCUUUCUGUUUAAAUUGUGUAGCUGUGUCCCCCCCACCAACACCCGGCCUCAAGAGACACCUUUAGUUUCUAAAUAGUUGCUUUCUCUUCCUUAUCUUCAGUGGUGCGCUCUUGAAAUAGUUUUUCCUUCUAACUCUGUUCACCAACUGAAGUUGCUUUUCUUCUGCCUGAGCAUUGCUGAUCCUUUUCUGUAGCUUUUGUGAAACUGUGAGGAGAAGUUGGUUUGGGGCUAUUUUUGCCUAACAAUUUGGAUAUCAAAACAAGCCGUAACAGUAAACCCAUAUUGGGCUGAUGUUGAUGUAUGCUGGUGCUGCAUUCUUCCUUUUUCUAAUCACAGGAGCUGGUGAAUUGUAAAACAGUGUAUUAGUUUGUUACUAGCAGAUGACUGGAGUACCUGUUAUUGCUUUGCAAAUCCAAAGAAGGGUUAUUGUUGAUGGGAUUUCAACUUCCCAGGGUUACUGGACCUAGGUGACAGCAAUUGUAGUUUUUGACCGAUGCCUCUUAUUUCAUUGAGGUGAUGGAAUAUCUCAUGCAAAGCUAUAUAGCUCUGGAGCGCUCUCUGCUGCUUCUACAAGAGCUUCACUAGGGAGCCAGGAACCUUCAGUGAGUGAUGUAAUAUAGAGAAAGAUAGCUCAACUCUCUCAUGACUUUGCUGGGUUUCCAUAGAAUUUUGUGUCUAGGUCAUUGGCUCAAGGUCAAUGACUGAAUAUACUAGGGAAGAAAUGAGGAGUGCUGCUUGUCAUCCAUUGUCCAUACAAAUCUUAAAGACAGAAGCCAUAUAUCAGUUAGCUGGGAACUUCUUAGUACAGAAAACUAGAGCUUGUUCUGUUGUGUAUAGAUGAGAGCUUGGGGUUCCCAUCAUCUGCAUCACCAUGCUGAGGUGGCUGCCUGCAUGCCAAUCAGCUGGCUUGGAAGAGUGGGGAGGUUGAUUGAGAGCUAACAGGUUCUUGAUUGGUCUCUGUUAUUUGGAUGAACUAAUUGCAUUGCUUCAGUGAUAUGCAUAGCCAAUUUUCAGGUGUUGCUGUAUAUCUUUUCCAGCAGAUCCUGGUGUCUUUGAUGAUCACUCUCUUUUCCUGGAGUUCUCUGUACUUUGGUGUGUGGUGUUUACAAAAUGGUGUCUGAUCCAUAUUAAAUUCUCUUGCAAGGUGUCCUGUGUUUACAAAAUGGUUUCAAAUCAUAUCAAAUGCUCUUCUGACAUGGGGCUUGUGCUGCUUCUAAAUGCAUUCUCUUCCUGAUGCCAAUGCCAAAUUCAUGUUUGCAGUUUUGUUGUCUGGUGAUGCUACAGAUGAUGCUUGUCUUGACAGAUGGCAAAUUGAGUACUGCCGGAGAUUCUUUUCUUUUAAGUGACAUGAAACCCUGUCAUGUGCAUGAGCUGCCGUGUAUGCGUCGGCAAUGUGCUCGCUCUAGGAUAUUGUCUGUUCUUUUUUGUGUUAGGAUAAAUUUGAGUAUUUUAUUUAAAUAAUAUUAAUUUAAAAAAUUAAAAAAUAAUAUUUUUUAUAAAAUAUUUAUCAAAAUAUUGUUAAAAAUAAAAUCAUUGUAUUGUAGGAUGAUUUUAUGUGUUAAUUUAUCACAACUCAUAUCAUGUGGAUGGUUGAGUCAGCAGCGUAGAGUUGUUCUAUAAAAGAACGACUCUAUAAGUUGUUUUAUAAAAGGACGACUUUAUGAGUCGCUUUAUAUAGAGUCGUCUUAUGAUAGAGCGAUUUUGAUCGUGGAUUUGUAUCGAGAGAUCAUUAGAUUUUUCAAUCAUCGAGAGAGAGGUUGGGGGGGCGAUGGGGAGGGGUGAUGGAGGUCGAGAGAGAGGAUUGAGGGAUCGGAAGAAAAAAAGAUGGGGUGUUUGUUUUUUUUUCUUAAAUGAUGGAGAGAAGUGAGAGAGGGGUUUAAUUUCUCCUCUCUUUUGAUUAAACACUUCUCUUCGCUCUUUUCGUUAUUUAGGGAAAAAAAAAUCAAACACCCUGCCCCUCUCCCUCUCGAUCCCCCCCUCCUGACUCUCUCCCUCUUGAUCCUUGCUGUCUUUUUCCAUGCCUCUUUCUAAAUCUUUUUCUCGGUGGUUGGAGAGUCUAGCAGUCUCUUGAUGCAAGAUUGGUGGUUACUCAGUCGCUCUAUCAUAGAAUGAUUUUACGUUGCUGAUUUUAUUAUUCACAUGACGUAAGUUGUGGUGAAUCUGUAUAUAAAGUUGUUCUAUGAUAUGGUGAUUUUGUUUUGAACAAUAUUUUGAUAAAUAUUUUGUAAAGAAUAUUAUUUUCAUAAAUUUUUUUAAAAA
Elaeis guineensis (African oil palm) is the source of this 6246-nucleotide non-coding RNA. Lineage: Eukaryota; Viridiplantae; Streptophyta; Magnoliopsida; Arecales; Arecaceae. The record is from RefSeq and is a predicted model, not a curated record.